RNAcentral lists this ribosomal RNA (451 nucleotides) under uncultured fungus. Its description in RNAcentral is "eukaryotic LSU rRNA". The stretch from base 76 to 229 matches the Rfam family "5.8S ribosomal RNA". The record is from RNAcentral. Lineage: Eukaryota; Fungi.
UCAAAACUAAAACGUCGGGAGCAUUGGACUGUCUGACCUGGGCCACAUUGGGCCGCCGAAAACUUGACAAGUUAAAACUUUCAACAACGGAUCUCUUGGCUCUCGCAUCGAUGAAGAACGCAGCGAAAUGCGAUAGGUAAUGUGAAUUGCAGAACUCAGUGAAUCAUCGAAUCUUUGAACGCACAUUGCGCCCUGGGGCAUUCCUCAGGGCAUGCCUGUCCGAGCGUCAGUGCAAACCACCUCACGGAAACACGUGGUGCUGGCGGAGGUGUGGUGUCUGAUCGGGCCGCGAUGGCGGCCCGGUCCUCCCCACCCCGCCGAAAUGUAUGGGGAGCAACACGCAUUGGCGGACCCGACUUGGUAGACGCUGUGGUUAGCGUGGAGCAGUCGCGGGGCCAUUGCUGUCCCUCCCGCCUCGAGCCCGUGGCGGCAUCUCCGGGGCAUCUCGUCA